GGGCGGGGUCUAAGGUAUAAGCACUCUUGUACCGUGAAACUGCGAAUGGCUCAUUAAAUCAGUUAUCGUUUAUUUGAUAGUACCCUACUACAUGGAUACCUGUGGUAAUUCUAGAGCUAAUACAUGCGCAAAACCCCGACUUCGGAAGGGGUGUAUUUAUUAGAUAAAAAACCAAUGCCCCUCGGGGCUCCUUGGUGAUUCAUAAUAACUUCACGAAUCGCAUGGCCUUGCGCCGGCGAUGGUUCAUUCAAAUUUCUGCCCUAUCAACUUUCGAUGGUAGGAUAGUGGCCUACCAUGGUGGCAACGGGUAACGGGGAAUUAGGGUUCGAUUCCGGAGAGGGAGCCUGAGAAACGGCUACCACAUCCAAGGAAGGCAGCAGGCGCGCAAAUUACCCAAUCCCGAUACGGGGAGGUAGUGACAAUAAAUACUGAUACAGGGCUCUUUUGGGUCUUGUAAUUGGAAUGAGAACAAUCUAAAUCCCUUAACGAGGAACAAUUGGAGGGCAAGUCUGGUGCCAGCAGCCGCGGUAAUUCCAGCUCCAAUAGCGUAUAUUAAAGUUGUUGCAGUUAAAAAGCUCGUAGUUGAACCUUGGGCCCGUCCUGCCGGUCCGCCUCACCGCGAGUACUGGUCCGGAUGGGCCUUUCUUUCUGGGGAAUCCCAUGGCCUUCACUGGCUGUGGCGGGGAACCAGGACUUUUACUGUGAAAAAAUUAGAGUGUUCAAAGCAGGCCUUUGCUCGGAUACAUUAGCAUGGAAUAAUAGAAUAGGACGUGCGGUUCUAUUUUGUUGGUUUCUAGGACCGCCGUAAUGAUUAAUAGGGAUAGUCGGGGGGCGUCAGUAUUCAGCUGUCAGAGGUGAAAUUCUUGGAUUUGCUGAAGACUAACUACUGCGAAAGCAUUCGCCAAAGGAUGUUUUCAUUAAUCAGGGAACGAAAGUUAGGGGAUCGAAAGACGAUCAGAUACCGUG
Molecule: ribosomal RNA, 966 nt
Filed under: Talaromyces diversus
Lineage: Eukaryota; Fungi; Ascomycota; Eurotiomycetes; Eurotiales; Trichocomaceae
Description: SSU rRNA
Rfam family: Eukaryotic small subunit ribosomal RNA
Source: RNAcentral